AAAAAUACACAAAUAAUUUUGCAGACGAAAAAUAAUUUUUGAAAAAUAUUAAAACUUGGCAACGCCGCGGUGAGGUGCAAUAGAUUUUACCUUAUUGUUAUUGCUAAAGUGUAUUUCUACAUUUUCCACAAAAUUCAAAAGUUAAUUUCUGUUUUCUGUUUUGUUUCAUAGUUUUGUUCACAGUUACUUACUUGCUAUGCUAAACAUUUCAUUUUCAUAACCCAAGAUAAAUGCAUCACUGACAACCUGCAGCAGAAUGUAAGCACAGUUUAAAUUGGCUAGGAAGAAGCAGGACAAUAUUAAGGUGAAGCGGUCACGUAGAGGGAAAAACUUGUCGAGUCUGUUGCAGAAAAAGGGCAUGGUAUAGGCGAUCGUAUGAAAACUGAUCGUUGAAAUUCUCUACAAGAGAGGCGAUUAUAUAGCCUACAGCUGCAGUUCACGUGCGCCAGCGUUUACAUCAGAGGAAAAUGCAUCCGACAUUGAAGAUCGCCAAAUCUUCCCAACCAAUUUAGCCGAUUGAAUUGCACUUGGAGGUACACGAUAAGCGUACAUUCUUGCCUUUUCCGUGGAACGCAUUUUACUAUUAGCCGAGAGCUCCAGUUCUAGCUCAUACGAAUAAGGUCGAACUAUCAACAGGCAGCAGUCCAUCGCCAAUAAUACUGUGGCAGCACCCAAUGAAAAUGUUGAAGAAGAAAACAAUCAGCCAUCAGAAGGCCGUUUGUCCCUCGUACAUGGAGACCCUUCGGCGGCCUGGCUAAUCGAAUUUCAAUUACCUACAACCCUAAUAUGGGAAAUUCUUUCGAGACCUUUGAUUCCUGUACUUCACCUUGUCCCAGUGGUGAUGCGGGAAUCUGUGUACCAGGAUCCGUUUGUUCCCUUUUUGGUGGUCGGCCAAGUGAGUCUUGCCCUUUAGGCAAAAUUUGUUGCAUCAAUACGGUCAACAAAUGUCACACUCAAUAACACGUAUUGGCAUUCUCCAACCACGCCCAUAUCUGAUUACUCAACUUGCGCACUGACCGUGAGAACAGAUUACAAGCUCGCGGAACAAAUGAAAAACCCAAUUUGUCAAA
Molecule: long non-coding RNA, 1070 nt
Organism: Daphnia pulicaria
Lineage: Eukaryota; Metazoa; Arthropoda; Branchiopoda; Diplostraca; Daphniidae
Exons: 10
Source: RefSeq, a predicted model, not a curated record